Molecule: ribosomal RNA, 2923 nt
Filed under: Klebsiella pneumoniae
Lineage: Bacteria; Pseudomonadati; Pseudomonadota; Gammaproteobacteria; Enterobacterales; Enterobacteriaceae
Also listed under: 1 other name
Description: 23S ribosomal RNA
Rfam family: Bacterial large subunit ribosomal RNA
Source: RNAcentral
GGGUUGUGAGGUUAAGCGACUAAGCGUACACGGUGGAUGCCCUGGCAGUCAGAGGCGAUGAAGGACGUGCUAAUCUGCGAAAAGCGUCGGUAAGGUGAUAUGAACCGUUAUAGCCGGCGAUGUCCGAAUGGGGAAACCCAGUGCAAUUCGUUGCACUAUCGUUAACUGAAUACAUAGGUUAACGAGGCGAACCGGGGGAACUGAAACAUCUAAGUACCCCGAGGAAAAGAAAUCAACCGAGAUUCCCCCAGUAGCGGCGAGCGAACGGGGAGCAGCCCAGAGUCUGAAUCAGCUUGUGUGUUAGUGGAACGGUCUGGAAAGUCCGACGGUACAGGGUGAUAGUCCCGUACACCAAAAUGCACAGGCUGUGAACUCGAAGAGUAGGGCGGGACACGUGGUAUCCUGUCUGAAUAUGGGGGGACCAUCCUCCAAGGCUAAAUACUCCUGACUGACCGAUAGUGAACCAGUACCGUGAGGGAAAGGCGAAAAGAACCCCGGCGAGGGGAGUGAAAAAGAACCUGAAACCGUGUACGUACAAGCAGUGGGAGCACCUUCGGGUGUGACUGCGUACCUUUUGUAUAAUGGGUCAGCGACUUAUAUUCUGUAGCAAGGUUAACCGUAUAGGGGAGCCGCAGGGAAACCGAGUCUUAACUGGGCGUUAAGUUGCAGGGUAUAGACCCGAAACCCGGUGAUCUAGCCAUGGGCAGGUUGAAGGUUGGGUAACACUAACUGGAGGACCGAACCGACUAAUGUUGAAAAAUUAGCGGAUGACUUGUGGCUGGGGGUGAAAGGCCAAUCAAACCGGGAGAUAGCUGGUUCUCCCCGAAAGCUAUUUAGGUAGCGCCUCGUGAACUCAUCUUCGGGGGUAGAGCACUGUUUCGGCUAGGGGGUCAUCCCGACUUACCAACCCGAUGCAAACUACGAAUACCGAAGAAUGUUAUCACGGGAGACACACGGCGGGUGCUAACGUCCGUCGUGAAGAGGGAAACAACCCAGACCGCCAGCUAAGGUCCCAAAGUCAUGGUUAAGUGGGAAACGAUGUGGGAAGGCACAGACAGCCAGGAUGUUGGCUUAGAAGCAGCCAUCAUUUAAAGAAAGCGUAAUAGCUCACUGGUCGAGUCGGCCUGCGCGGAAGAUGUAACGGGGCUAAACCAUGCACCGAAGCUGCGGCAGCGACACUAUGUGUUGUUGGGUAGGGGAGCGUUCUGUAAGCCUGCGAAGGUGUGCUGUGAGGCAUGCUGGAGGUAUCAGAAGUGCGAAUGCUGACAUAAGUAACGAUAAAGCGGGUGAAAAGCCCGCUCGCCGGAAGACCAAGGGUUCCUGUCCAACGUUAAUCGGGGCAGGGUGAGUCGACCCCUAAGGCGAGGCCGAAAGGCGUAGUCGAUGGGAAACAGGUUAAUAUUCCUGUACUUGGUGUUACUGCGAAGGGGGGACGGAGAAGGCUAUGUUAGCCGGGCGACGGUUGUCCCGGUUUAAGCAUGUAGGCUGGUUGUCCAGGCAAAUCCGGAUAAUCAAGGCUGAGGUGUGAUGACGAGGCACUACGGUGCUGAAGUAACAAAUGCCCUGCUUCCAGGAAAAGCCUCUAAGCAUCAGGUAACAUUAAAUCGUACCCCAAACCGACACAGGUGGUCAGGUAGAGAAUACCAAGGCGCUUGAGAGAACUCGGGUGAAGGAACUAGGCAAAAUGGUGCCGUAACUUCGGGAGAAGGCACGCUGGUGUGUAGGUGAAGUCCCUGCGGAUGGAGCUGAGACCAGUCGAAGAUACCAGCUGGCUGCAACUGUUUAUUAAAAACACAGCACUGUGCAAACACGAAAGUGGACGUAUACGGUGUGACGCCUGCCCGGUGCCGGAAGGUUAAUUGAUGGGGUUAUCCGUAAGGAGAAGCUCUUGAUCGAAGCCCCGGUAAACGGCGGCCGUAACUAUAACGGUCCUAAGGUAGCGAAAUUCCUUGUCGGGUAAGUUCCGACCUGCACGAAUGGCGUAAUGAUGGCCAGGCUGUCUCCACCCGAGACUCAGUGAAAUUGAACUCGCUGUGAAGAUGCAGUGUACCCGCGGCAAGACGGAAAGACCCCGUGAACCUUUACUAUAGCUUGACACUGAACAUUGAGCCUUGAUGUGUAGGAUAGGUGGGAGGCUUUGAAGCGUGGACGCCAGUCUGCGUGGAGCCAACCUUGAAAUACCACCCUUUAAUGUUUGAUGUUCUAACGUUGGCCCCUGACCGGGGUUGCGGACAGUGUCUGGUGGGUAGUUUGACUGGGGCGGUCUCCUCCCAAAGCGUAACGGAGGAGCACGAAGGUUAGCUAAUCCUGGUCGGACAUCAGGAGGUUAGUGCAAUGGCAUAAGCUAGCUUGACUGCGAGCGUGACGGCGCGAGCAGGUGCGAAAGCAGGUCAUAGUGAUCCGGUGGUUCUGAAUGGAAGGGCCAUCGCUCAACGGAUAAAAGGUACUCCGGGGAUAACAGGCUGAUACCGCCCAAGAGUUCAUAUCGACGGCGGUGUUUGGCACCUCGAUGUCGGCUCAUCACAUCCUGGGGCUGAAGUAGGUCCCAAGGGUAUGGCUGUUCGCCAUUUAAAGUGGUACGCGAGCUGGGUUUAGAACGUCGUGAGACAGUUCGGUCCCUAUCUGCCGUGGGCGCUGGAGAAUUGAGGGGGGCUGCUCCUAGUACGAGAGGACCGGAGUGGACGCAUCACUGGUGUUCGGGUUGUCAUGCCAAUGGCACUGCCCGGUAGCUAAAUGCGGAAGAGAUAAGUGCUGAAAGCAUCUAAGCACGAAACUUGCCCCGAGAUGAGUUCUCCCUGAGACUUUAAGUCUCCUGAAGGAACGUUAAAGACGAUGACGUUGAUAGGCCGGGUGUGUAAGCGCAGCGAUGCGUUGAGCUAACCGGUACUAAUGAACCGUGAGGCUUAACCUUACAACGCCGAAG